RNAcentral lists this ribosomal RNA (382 nucleotides) under uncultured bacterium. RNAcentral's name for it is "bacterial SSU rRNA". It matches the Rfam family "Bacterial small subunit ribosomal RNA", at positions 109 to 507 of the family's 1533-position model. The record is from RNAcentral.
GGUAACGCGUGAGCAACCUUUCUCUCAGUGGGGAAUAACACAGGGAAACUUGUACUAAUACCGCAUGAGACCACAGCAUCGCAUGGUGCAGGGGUCAAAGAUUAAUUGCUGAGAGGUGGGCUCGCGUCUGAUUAGGUAGUUGGUGAGGUAACGGCCCACCAAGCCGACGAUCAGUAGCCGACCUGAGAGGGUGAUCGGCCACAUUGGGACUGAGACACGGCCCAAACUCCUACGGGAGGCAGCAGUGGGGAAUAUUGGGCAAUGGGGGAAACCCUGACCCAGCAACGCCGCGUGGAGGAAGAAGGUUUUCGGAUCGUAAACUCCUGUCCUCAGGGAAGAGCAGAAGACGGUACCUGAGGAGGAAGCCCCGGCUAACUACGUG